Mus musculus (house mouse) is the source of this 1181-nucleotide long non-coding RNA. RefSeq annotates it as predicted gene, 53385. The transcript has 2 exons. The record is from RefSeq and is a predicted model, not a curated record. NCBI's taxonomy places the organism in Eukaryota, Metazoa, Chordata, Mammalia, Rodentia, Muridae.
GUCUUCCAUGCUCUGCAAAGCAAGAUCCUCCAGAUGAUGAGCGAUUUGCAGGGUACGUGUAUGGGGAUCCCACCUUUUAGCUACUCCUCCCCCACCUAGCCCCUAGUCCCCUUUCCCAACUUCAGGUAGACAAAGCAACUCUCUAUUGCUAUAGUCACAUGGAUGGGCCCUGAGGUAAGCUAAUAACUCGUAGUCCAGCGAACCCUUCAGUUAUCCUAAUUGAGCUGGGGAGGGCAGGGUGUCUCUUCUGAACCUUGCACGUCUGGGUGAUACUCUGCCUGCAACCCACCUCCGUGUUCCAACUUGCACAGCUUCACAAAGCCAUGACCCAAGCCUCAGGAAUGCCCAGAGGAUACAGGACAAUUGGGCCUUUGAUGGUUGCCAUGGCAUCUGGCUGGGGUAGACAAGGCAGCUCUAUGCUGUUGCUCAGAGCAUAGCUGCCCCUCCACCCACACACUCAUCUCUUUCCUUCUCCUCCAGGACAGAGGCCCAGCUGCUCAGGCUGAGGGUAGGAGGGGAAAGAGUGUAUGGGAAUAGAUGGCACUGAAGAAGAUACCCUUGUCUUCCCAGGAUGGGCUGCACCUAAUAUCAGGGUGCCCUGCGUAGACACUGCCUUGCUGAAGGCAGGUCUAGGCCUACCCCCCAGCUCAGAGUCCCAUCCACCAGGGCAGCUCUUAGAGGGUCUUCUGAGAUGUCACUGGGCAUGUCAGCUCCUUUCUAUCAGCCUGGAAGAGGGAUCACUUCACAGGCUGCAAAUUAUCUGAUUCUAAACGUCCAGAGACCCAGCACCUAUGGCAGGCGUGCCUCCAUCCCUGAGUUCUCUGGAACCUGCAGGUGUUUUAUCUGGAACCACCUAUAAGAGGGCACAGCACAGGGUAAGAACUCAACCAAGGACCAGUCUUAGGACCAAUCUCUUAAUGCCUAGCUAACUGACCUACAUUUGGCAGGAGCUCAGAAGCAGUGUUUGUGGGAGCUCUCUGGAAGCACCCAAGAGCCUUCCAAGUACAAUUCUUAGACAUAGGGAAGACCCUGACUACGGGCAGAGUUCCACCAAAGAAACACUUCUACUCACCCUGACACUCUUGGCCGACCUUUAUGUCUCGGACAUUGAAGUGGAUGACUACUCGGUCCUCCUCGUCCUGUGCCGUCUCGUCAUGGUAGUAACCCAGUGUGCCAUCCAA